GAACUGAAGAGUUUGAUCAUGGCUCAGAUUGAACGCUGGCGGCAGGCCUAACACAUGCAAGUCGAGCGGAUGAAGGGAGCUUGCUCCUGGAUUCAGCGGCGGACGGGUGAGUAAUGCCUAGGAAUCUGCCUGGUAGUGGGGGAUAACGUCCGGAAACGGGCGCUAAUACCGCAUACGUCCUGAGGGAGAAAGUGGGGGAUCUUCGGACCUCACGCUAUCAGAUGAGCCUAGGUCGGAUUAGCUAGUUGGUGGGGUAAAGGCCUACCAAGGCGACGAUCCGUAACUGGUCUGAGAGGAUGAUCAGUCACACUGGAACUGAGACACGGUCCAGACUCCUACGGGAGGCAGCAGUGGGGAAUAUUGGACAAUGGGCGAAAGCCUGAUCCAGCCAUGCCGCGUGUGUGAAGAAGGUCUUCGGAUUGUAAAGCACUUUAAGUUGGGAGGAAGGGCAGUAAGUUAAUACCUUGCUGUUUUGACGUUACCAACAGAAUAAGCACCGGCUAACUUCGUGCCAGCAGCCGCGGUAAUACGAAGGGUGCAAGCGUUAAUCGGAAUUACUGGGCGUAAAGCGCGCGUAGGUGGUUCAGCAAGUUGGAUGUGGAAAUCCCCGGGCUCAACCUUGGGAACUGCAUCCAAAACUACUGAGCUAGAGUACGGUAGAGGGUGGUGGAAUUUCCUGUGUAGCGGUGAAAUGCGUAGAUAUAGGAAGGAACA
RNAcentral lists this ribosomal RNA (714 nucleotides) under Pseudomonas aeruginosa 18A. RNAcentral's name for it is "SSU rRNA". It matches the Rfam family "Bacterial small subunit ribosomal RNA", at positions 1 to 708 of the family's 1533-position model. Lineage: Bacteria; Pseudomonadati; Pseudomonadota; Gammaproteobacteria; Pseudomonadales; Pseudomonadaceae. The record is from RNAcentral.